GGCGGCGUGCCUAAUACAUGCAAGUCGAACGCACUCUCGUUUAGAUUGAAGGAGCUUGCUCCUGAUUGAUAAACAUUUGAGUGAGUGGCGGACGGGUGAGUAACACGUGGGUAACCUGCCCUAAAGUGGGGGAUAACAUUUGGAAACAGAUGCUAAUACCGCAUAAAACCUAACACCGCAUGGUGUAGGGUUGAAAGAUGGUUUCGGCUAUCACUUUAGGAUGGACCCCGCGGUGCAUUAGUUAGUUGGUGAGGUAAAGGCUCACCAAGACCGUGAUGCAUAGCCGACCUGAGAGGGUAAUCGGCCACACUGGGACUGAGACACGGCCCAGACUCCUACGGGAGGCAGCAGUAGGGAAUCUUCCACAAUGGACGAAAGUCUGAUGGAGCAACGCCGCGUGAGUGAAGAAGGUUUUCGGAUCGUAAAACUCUGUUGUUGGAGAAGAAUGUAUCUGAUAGUAACUGAUCAGGUAGUGACGGUAUCCAACCAGAAAGCCACGGCUAACUACGUG
RNAcentral lists this ribosomal RNA (511 nucleotides) under uncultured bacterium. RNAcentral's name for it is "bacterial SSU rRNA". It matches the Rfam family "Bacterial small subunit ribosomal RNA", at positions 38 to 507 of the family's 1533-position model. The record is from RNAcentral.